CACGUAGGGCGCAAGCGUUGUCCGGAAUUAUUGGGCGUAAAGAGCUCGUAGGCGGUUCGUCGCGUCGGCUGUGAAAUCCCGGAGCUCAACUCCGGGUCUGCAGUCGAUACGGGCGGACUUGAGUUCGGCAGGGGAGACUGGAAUUCCUGGUGUAGCGGUGAAAUGCGCAGAUAUCAGGAAGAACACCUAUGGCGAAGGCAGCUCUCUGGGACGGUACUGACGCUGAGACGCGAAAGCGUGGGGAGCGAACAGG
RNAcentral lists this ribosomal RNA (253 nucleotides) under uncultured bacterium. RNAcentral describes it as "partial 16S ribosomal RNA". It matches the Rfam family "Bacterial small subunit ribosomal RNA", at positions 524 to 776 of the family's 1533-position model. The record is from RNAcentral.